Molecule: ribosomal RNA, 486 nt
Filed under: uncultured bacterium
Lineage: Bacteria
Description: bacterial SSU rRNA
Rfam family: Bacterial small subunit ribosomal RNA
Source: RNAcentral
CUGGCUCAGGACGAACGCUGGCGGCGUGCCUAACACAUGCAAGUCGAACGGAGUGCUUAAAGCUUGCUUGAACACUUAGUGGCGGACGGGUGAGUAACGCGUGGGGAACCUGCCUUUCAGAGGGGGAUAACGUUCUGAAAAGAACGCUAAUACCGCAUAACGUAUGACCGUCGCAUGGCGGACAUACCAAAGGAGCAAUCCGCUGAAAGAUGGCCCCGCGUCCGAUUAGAUAGUUGGCGAGGUAACGGCUCACCAAGUCGACGAUCGGUAGCCGGACUGAGAGGUUGAACGGCCACAUUGGGACUGAGACACGGCCCAGACUCCUACGGGAGGCAGCAGUGGGGGAUAUUGCACAAUGGGGGAAACCCUGAUGCCAGCAACGCCGCGUGAGGGAAGAAGGUUUUCGGAUUGUAAACCUCUGUCCUUGGUGAAGAUCAUGACGGUAGCCGAGGAGGAAGCUCCGGCUAACUACGUGCCAGCAGCAGC